AGGCGAAACCCCUGAGAGGGGGUCGGGUGGGCUGGCAUCCCACCCCUGAUGAGCCUGCCGAGC
Molecule: non-coding RNA, 63 nt
Filed under: Streptomyces sp. H34-S4
Lineage: Bacteria; Bacillati; Actinomycetota; Actinomycetes; Kitasatosporales; Streptomycetaceae
Source: RNAcentral